This 497-nucleotide ribosomal RNA is filed under the name uncultured bacterium. RNAcentral describes it as "partial 16S ribosomal RNA". It matches the Rfam family "Bacterial small subunit ribosomal RNA", at positions 28 to 507 of the family's 1533-position model. The record is from RNAcentral.
GAUGAACGCUGGCGGCGUGCCUAAUACAUGCAAGUCGAGCGAACGGACGAGAAGCUUGCUUCUCUGAUGUUAGCGGCGGACGGGGGAGUAACACGUGGAUAACCUACCUAUAAGACUGGGAUAACUUCGGGAAACCGGAGCUAAUACCGGAUAAUAUUUUGAACCGCAUGGUUCAAAAGUGAAAGACGGUCUUGCUGUCACUUAUAGAUGGAUCCGCGCUGCAUUAGCUAGUUGGUAAGGUAACGGCUUACCAAGGCAACGAUGCAUAGCCGACCUGAGAGGGUGAUCGGCCACACUGGAACUGAGACACGGUCCAGACUCCUGCGGGAGGCAGCAGUAGGGAAUCUUCCGCAAUGGGCGAAAGCCUGACGGAGCAACGCCGCGUGAGUGAUGAAGGUCUUCGGAUCGUAAAACUCUGUUAUUAGGGAAGAACAUACGUGUAAGUAACUGUGCACAUCUUGACGGUACCUAAUCAGAAAGCCACGGCUAACUACGUG